RNA transcript from Glycine soja, 2222 nucleotides. It is a transcript of the gene named calcium-binding mitochondrial carrier protein SCaMC-2-B-like, with no coding region annotated. The record is from RefSeq and is a predicted model, not a curated record. The transcript is spliced from 4 exons. Lineage: Eukaryota; Viridiplantae; Streptophyta; Magnoliopsida; Fabales; Fabaceae.
CGGCAGAAUAUCCAAUAAAAUUCCCCUUUUCCCAACUCUUACUCAGCUCCUUUCCAUAUCAAUCCUCUUGCCAGCAACAAAACAAACCAUGUAUUAUUAUGUGGCAUAAAAAUCCGAAGCAAAACCUCGAAAAACCGUCACAAAUCACAAUUACUGGUUCAACAACUUCAAGUUUCAUCCAUCUGUCGUUUCUCGAUCUCCAGUUCUCCACUGUUCCAACUCCAACUCCAACCAAACCAGCUUCUGACUAGUCUCUCUCCGCAUAUACGACACCGCGUUUCGUCAGAUCUGAAAUUGAAAUGGAUCACGUGCUGGUGGCGCUGGGGGAGACGAAGGAGGAGAGGGAGGUUCGUAUUCGGAGCCUGUUCAACUUCUUCGACGCCGCCAACAACGGUUACUUGGACUACGCUCAGAUAGAGGCGGGGCUAUCGGCGCUGCAGAUUCCGCCGGAGUACAAGUACGCCAGGGAACUCUGCGAGGUUUGCGACGCCAAUAGCGACGGCAGAGUCGAGUACCACGAGUUUCGCCGCUACAUGGACGACAAGGAGUUGGAGCUUUACCGCAUCUUCCAAGCCAUUGAUGUUGAACACGACGGCACCAUUCUCCCUGAAGAGCUCUACGAAGCUCUACUCAAAGCUGGUAUUGAAAUGAAUGACGAGGAGCUGGCUCACUUUGUGGAGCAUGUUGAUAAGGAUAAUAAUGGAAUUAUCACUUUUGAAGAAUGGAGAGAUUUUCUUCUACUUUAUCCUCAUGAAGCAACUAUUGAAAAUAUAUAUCAUCAUUGGGAGAGGGUGUGCCUUGUUGACAUUGGAGAGCAAGCUGUCAUUCCCGAAGGCAUCAGCAAGCAUGCAAACCGGAGCAAAUAUUUUCUUGCUGGUGGAAUAGCAGGAGGUAUUUCUCGUACAGCAACUGCUCCUCUUGAUCGUCUGAAGGUGGUCUUACAAGUUCAAAGCGAACGUGCUUCUAUCAUGCCAGCAGUAACAAGGAUAUGGAAGCAAGAUGGUCUGUUAGGAUUUUUUCGAGGUAAUGGAUUGAAUGUUGUGAAGGUAGCACCAGAAAGUGCCAUCAAAUUUUAUGCUUUUGAAAUGCUGAAAAAAGUAAUUGGAGAGGCCCAAGGCAACAAGUCAGAUAUUGGUACUGCUGGGAGGCUUGUUGCAGGUGGUACGGCUGGUGCAAUUGCACAGGCUGCUAUCUAUCCAAUGGAUCUCAUUAAAACUAGGUUACAGACUUGUCCCUAUGAAGGUGGAAAGGUUCCUAAGCUGGGAACACUUACAAUGAAUAUAUGGUUUCAAGAGGGACCUCGAGCUUUCUACAGGGGGCUUGUUCCAUCUCUGCUUGGCAUGAUUCCUUAUGCAGCCAUUGAUCUCACUGCUUAUGAUACCUUGAAAGAUAUGUCCAAGAGAUAUAUUCUUCAGGAUAGUGAUUGACUCUUAAAUUUUUGGUCCUUGGAGUGAGACCUUUUACUCUUUUUUCUCCUUCAUAGAACCUGGUCCUCUAGUACAACUAGGAUGUGGGACAAUUUCUGGGGCUGUUGGAGCUACUUGUGUCUAUCCAUUGCAGGUUAUUCGAACAAGGUACAAUGCUUUCAGUAUUACUGUUGUUUCUCUGUUCUUCCCCAAAGAAAUGAUGGAGUGAAGGAUGACUGCAGGCACAACCUUCCAACACUUCCGAUGCUUACAAGGGAAUGUUUGAUGCCUUUCGGAGAACUUUUCAGCUUGAAGGCUUUAUAGGUUUCUACAAGGGACUCUUUCCAAAUCUCCUCAAAGUUGUGCCAGCUGCAAGCAUUACUUAUGUGGUCUACGAAAGUUUGAAGAAGAAUCUGGAUCUGGAUUAGAGUUUUUUUUUUUUUUUCUACGGGUACAAUCACAAAAUGUUCCAGACAACCAAAAAGUCGUUUUAAGUAUCAGCUUAGCCCUAGGCACAACCGCACAAGGUACUUCCAGAGUUGUGAACAUUCAAAUUGUAGGUAAAAUUCGUUCACUGAGUAGACCAUGCCUCAUGGUUGAGUAUUAUUUUUUUGCUGAAGCAAUUAUGCUGAUGAUACUUUAGUAAGUCAUUAACCGCUGAUGGUGACGAUAAGAGGCUAUAUUAGAAAGUCCUUCUUCUGAGGAUAUCUUAAAACACGAUUUUAGUCAGAAGCUCAGAAAGUAUUUCCCCAUGACCCCAUGAUUAUGUGAACUACAUGUUGAUCAAGAAUUAGGGUUUUAUCAUAGAUGGCAAAA